UGGGGAAUCUUUCACAAUGGGCGAAAGCCUGAUGCAGCGACGCCGCGUGCGGGAUGAAGGCCUUCGGGUUGUAAACCGCUUUCAGCAGGGACGAGGCCGCAAGGUGACGGUACCUGCAGAAGAAGCCCCGGCUAACUACGUGCCAGCAGCCGCGGUAAUACGUAGGGGGCAAGCGUUAUCCGGAUUAAUUGGGCGUAAAGCGCGCGUAGGCGGUUUGUUAGGUCAGGAGUUAAAUCUGGGGGCUCAACCCCUAUCCGCUCCUGAUACCGGCAGGCUUGAGUCUGGUAGGGGAAGGCGGAAUUCCAGGUGUAGCGGUGAAAUGCGCAGAUAUUUGAAAGAACACCGGUGGUGAAGGCGGCCUUCUGGGCCACGACUGACGCUGAGGCGCGAAAGCUAGGGGAGCGAACAGG
This 410-nucleotide ribosomal RNA is filed under the name Verrucomicrobiota bacterium. RNAcentral describes it as "Verrucomicrobia bacterium partial 16S ribosomal RNA". It matches the Rfam family "Bacterial small subunit ribosomal RNA", at positions 355 to 776 of the family's 1533-position model. The record is from RNAcentral. Lineage: Bacteria; Pseudomonadati; Verrucomicrobiota.